Molecule: ribosomal RNA, 445 nt
Filed under: uncultured soil bacterium
Lineage: Bacteria
Description: bacterial SSU rRNA
Rfam family: Bacterial small subunit ribosomal RNA
Source: RNAcentral
AGAACGAACGCUGGCGGCAUGCCUAAUACAUGCAAGUCGAACGAACACCUCGGUGUUAGUGGCGCACGGGUGCGUAACGCGUGGGAAUCUGCCCUUGGGUUCGGAAUAACAGUUGGAAACGACUGCUAAUACCGGAUGAUAUCGAAAGAUCAAAGAUUUAUCGCCCAGGGAUGAGCCCGCGUAGGAUUAGCUAGUUGGUGAGGUAAAGGCUCACCAAGGCGACGAUCCUUAGCUGGUCUGAGAGGAUGAUCAGCCACACUGGGACUGAGACACGGCCCAGACUCCGUACGGGAGCAGCAGUAGGGAAUAGUUGGACAAUGGGCGCAAGCCUGAUCCAGCAAGUGCCGCGUGAGUGAUGAAGGCCUUAGGGUUAGUAAAGUCUUCGUUUAACCGAGUAUGAAUAAUGAACGUAGUACGUACGGGAAGAACGUAACGACCCCGGUAC